This 467-nucleotide ribosomal RNA is filed under the name uncultured bacterium. RNAcentral describes it as "partial 16S ribosomal RNA". It matches the Rfam family "Bacterial small subunit ribosomal RNA", at positions 28 to 507 of the family's 1533-position model. The record is from RNAcentral.
GAUGAACGCUGGCGGCGUGCUUAACACAUGCAAGUCGAACGGAAAGGCCCAAGCUUGCUUGGGUACUCGAGUGGCGAACGGGUGAGUAACACGUGGGUGAUCUGCCCUGCACUUCGGGAUAAGCCUGGGAAACUGGGUCUAAUACCAGAUAGGACCACAUUUUGGAUGGUGUGGUGGAAAGUUUUUCGGUGUGGGAUGAGCUCGCGGCCUAUCAGCUUGUUGGUGGGGUAAUGGCCUACCAAGGCGUCGACGGGUAGCCGGCCUGAGAGGGUGUACGGCCACAUUGGGACUGAGAUACGGCCCAGACUCCUACGGGAGGCAGCAGUGGGGAAUAUUGCACAAUGGGCGCAAGCCUGAUGCAGCGACGCCGCGUGGGGGAUGACGGCCUUCGGGUUGUAAACUCCUUUCGCUAGGGACGAAGCGUUUUUGUGACGGUACCUGGAGAAGAAGCACCGGCUAACUACGUG